Molecule: small nucleolar RNA, 122 nt
Filed under: Mesocricetus auratus (golden hamster)
Lineage: Eukaryota; Metazoa; Chordata; Mammalia; Rodentia; Cricetidae
Description: Small nucleolar RNA SNORA70
Rfam family: Small nucleolar RNA SNORA70
About the family: snoRNA U70 seems to be exclusive to mammals and is a member of the H/ACA class of snoRNA which contain H (ANANNA) and ACA box motifs. H/ACA box snoRNAs are involved in the conversion of uridines to pseudouridines (5-ribosyluracil) a constituent of structural RNAs (transfer, ribosomal, small nuclear, and small nucleolar).
Source: Rfam by way of RNAcentral
AUGCAGACAGUGAAGUGGACUAGGUCUUUUCCUCACAGAAAUAUGCAAUGGCUGCAGCAGCACCCUUCUUGGGAGAGGGAAGCCUGUUGCUUGUGUUGUCAUAAGGCACCUGUGAGACAGUU